Molecule: ribosomal RNA, 305 nt
Filed under: uncultured bacterium
Lineage: Bacteria
Description: bacterial SSU rRNA
Rfam family: Bacterial small subunit ribosomal RNA
Source: RNAcentral
ACCUACGGGAGGCAGCAGUAGGGAAUCUUCCACAAUGGGCGAAAGCCUGAUGGAGCAACGCCGCGUGGGUGAAGAAGGUCUUCGGAUCGUAAAACCCUGUUGUUAGAGAAGAAAGUGCGUGAGAGUAACUGUUCACGUUUCGACGGUAUCUAACCAGAAAGCCACGGCUAACUACGUGCCAGCAGCCGCGGUAAUACGUAGGUGGCAAGCGUUAUCCGGAUUUAUUGGGCGUAAAGGGAACGCAGGCGGUGUUUUAAGUCUGAUGUGAAAGCCUUCGGCUUAACCGGAGGAGGGCAUUGGAAACU